Molecule: long non-coding RNA, 3214 nt
Organism: Pogoniulus pusillus (Red-fronted tinkerbird)
Lineage: Eukaryota; Metazoa; Chordata; Aves; Piciformes; Lybiidae
Exons: 2
Source: RefSeq, a predicted model, not a curated record
GGGUGUCUUUGCAGUGCCGACAACAACGGAUUCGCUCAUCGUCCUUCUCAUCCAGCACCGAGCUCACACUGCUGACGCUGCUGAUGCUGCCCCGGCGGGAGCCAUGGACACUAUUAGGACUGUAAAAUUUUACCAACACACAUGAAAUGUACUUCAGCAGAAAGCCUGCGUUCAGGUACUUCAAACAGUCUGCUGGAAGCGCAUGACAACCAAGACAGCAAGUGAGAACUGGAGUCUUCACUGUAAACUCUUCUCCAUUCAAAAAGCAGAGAGAGAAUAGACUGCUGACAGCCACCUUCUUUGCAUUCUCAUGCCAGAGGUCUGCAGUUACAGAACAGCGUAUAGCCGUGUUACUGCUGCCAGUGCUCUGUGCUUGAAUGUGCCAAAAGCCCGGUCACUAUCAUUUAUUUCCACAGAAAACACAGCCUCCUCUCCAAUGUACCAGGUGAAGAAGUUAAAUAUCAAAGGGUUUCUUAAAGGCAUGUGGAUGAACUUCCUUAAUGUCAGCAUUUGAACAACCACAGGCAAGACUGGAAAUACCCACAACAGAACCUUGGCAGUUACAAUCCCUGAAGGUAACACCUUCAUAGUUACAAGUACUCAAUAGAUAAGACACUAAUCAUUAAUUCUAUUUACCGGUAGCACAUACUACUACUGUGUCUAGUGACUACUUCAGUGUUCUGCAAUACUUCCAAAGCUAGAGAAGAAACACAAAUGAUAAAUUCUUCUGUUCCUCAGACAAGUGUCUGCAUGAGACUGCCAUGCUAAGGACCAAGUCUUUCACACAGGCAGCUUUUUUUCCAAUGGCAAAAUGCUUGGGUGCAGUCAAGAGUAAGCUAAGGAAAGGAGGAACUGUCUUCAGGGGCUAUACUCACUGGCCAAGGGAAGGCUGACAAGUUCCAUGCACUUCUUGCACAUGAUGGAGCCACAGAGGCGGCAGUGGUGACGUCUGUUUCGAAUGCUGAACUUACUGCCGCAGUCUGGGCAGAAGGGGACAUCCUGAUCGUUGACCCAAGGCACAACAGACUUCUCUAUAGCUGUAAGGGAUGGGAGAGGAGGGGACACACAACUGGAGAUAUUAAACUAAUUUCUCAGCUGGUUACACCGGAGCAGUCUGAGUGAAGCUCAUACCAACCUCUUAUUUUAGCCGACUCGGUGUUUGCUCUGUCAAAUGACGUCAGCUAGUGGAAGAAACAGAACGUUCAAGGAACCGGUACCAGGGAAAGGAAAGAACAAAACAGGAAAGAAACCUGCCAGAUCUAAGAGACAGGAGUCUCAGCCUCUUGUACAGCAGAUUGCUUAAACCUCCCUGUUUAUUCUAACGUCACAAUCACACAAACAGUGCUGAACCGUGACUGCACAAGGCAGAGCAUUUGGGGCAGAACCCCUAUAGCCGAACCUGCUGCACCUGAGCCACACCACCAUGUGGGCAGUGAAGCUGGGAAGAUCACGACAAAAACUUCAGGGAGACAUUUAAGGAAAAACACAGGCACACUCCAUACUAAAACCCAAGAGGUUUAAAUCUAGGAAGCAUUCAUAGGGCUGGAAUGUUAAAAGGCAGCAGAUUUACCUUUUCUAACCUGAUGAUCAGCUUAUUAACUUCAACUACAUAGUGGUCAAUCCUGGCUGCUCGGUUCUUCUUGAAAUCAGAAAGAUGGCUUCUCAUAGCCCCUGGAGAGACAGCAGGAAGGUUUCAGUCACCUAGAUGUUCUGUGAGGACUUAAAAUUCUAAAGACACACUACAAUCCCAGACUUCCAGAGUGCUGGUCUAAACGAAGCAUGCAUAUUAAAGCUUAAUCUCAAGACUAGCAGUAAGUGCCACCAAAGUAACUGAUAUCUCAGUGACAGCAAGAAGCAACGUCCAGUCCCAGGAUUCCUAAUCACAGGCUUGGUCAAUUUACCUUUGAAAUUCUACAGCUGUCAGUUUAUAUUUAGAGCAGUGGCUUUGGGGUCAUGUUGUAUUUUUUUUAACACUUUCAUUGUUUUGGGGUUUGUUUGGGUUUUUUAAAGAAAAUCUCUUUUUACUAAGAGAUGGUCUGCACCCCAAACUCAAGAUAAAACUGGAAGAAUAAGCCUUUUGUCAGACAUGUAAGCUAACAACUACUUGAAGUGCAGCCCAAAAGCUAAGAAAUGUAUAAAGCUACAGCCCAAUUAUUAACCAGCUAUAGCUUCAUUGUUAAUCAGCAGAGUUACCGGUUUUGCAGAAAGCCACAAAAUGGCUGCAGAACACCUCAACAAAGCAAGGUGCACAGAGGUGAACACAUCUCCAUCAGACUUCAACAGCUGAGGCACAAUCACAAGUGACCCUGCGCCCAGGGCUAGCUGGGGUCACCCCUGUUAAGAGCAUUCUCCCCUCUGCCCCACACAACAUAGGCACAACAUCAACAUGCAAACCAUUACCUCCUGCAACAGUACAUCAAACAAUGCAGACGCAUGCAACUGCAGCAACACUGUGGCACUUUCCCAAGCCAGAUUAAGUAAAUUAUCCCCACUGCUAUCCCUUUCCAUCUCACCUACCCACUUCCUGGGGCUCCCACAUGCAGGGAUCUACUCCGCCAUAGCUGAAGGACUCGUAUCGCUCCUGAGAUCCAGAAUCAGUUCUGUCAUCUCCUUCUCGUUUCAGCAAUUUCUUCUUUGCCCUUUUGGCCUUCUGGACCAGGUCUGAAAAAGAUAAACCCAAGCAGGUACAAGUAUUUGACACAUGAAACCAGUACGGAGAACUCUUCAUCUCUUAGCACAAGCCUUCUUUCUCAAUGACAAGUUUAUGUUCAACACGUGCUGUUUAAGACCAGAAUGGGGUUCAGAGAAUCACAGAUCACAUCAAAUGCUCUUUAGUACCUAUCAUAAAGUAGCAUUAAAGUUGUAGCUCUAGGUACUCUAGUCAGACACUUCACAGUGACCUGUCUUGAGCUAUGAGACCCAUUUCACUGCACCCUGGGACAUUCCUAAUGUUCUUAGGAGUCAAGGCUGUUCAACUCUUUGUCUUGUUGUACAAACUACAAAUGAAGAAUGAGUCUCUGUGACAGGAGUGCAGUCUCCCAGACAACCAACCAAACAAGACCAAGAACCAAGAACUCAGAACUUCAGAGUCUAUUGCCCUUGAUAGCCUUGUUCCCCUCUGGACGCUAGCAGAAGUUGAAGGCACCAUUUUUCUUGCCAAACACAUUAAGUAGCAAUUUGAAAUAAAUCUUCUAUACAUCAAGCUCUCUAACAA